UCUAGGAUCAAAAUAAUGGUUUCAAUCCCAGAAUACUAUGAAGGCAAGAAUGUCCUCCUCACAGGAGCUACUGGUUUUCUAGGGAAGGUGCUUUCUGGAAAAGUUGCUGAGAUCUUGUCCUAAGGUGAAUUCAGUGUAUGUUUUGGUGAGGCAGAAAGCUAGACAGACACCACAAGAGCGAGUAGAAGAAAUCCUUAGUGGCAAGCUCUUUGACAGACUGAGAGAUGAAAAUCCAGAUUUUAGAGAGAAAAUUAUAGCAAUCGACAGCGAACUCACCCAACCUAAACUGGCUCUCAGUGAAGAAGAUAAAGAGGUGAUCAUAGAUUCUACCAAUAUUAUAUUCCACUGUGCAGCUACAGUAAGGUUUAAUGAAAACUUAAGAGAUGCUGUUCGGGUAAGUGCGAUUGCAAUGCGACAGCUUAUUCUCCUUGCACAACAAAUGAAGAACCUGGAGGUGUUCAUGCAUGUAUCAACAGCAUGUGCCUGCUGUAACCAAAAGCAUAUUGAUGAAGUAGUCUACCCACCACCUGUGGAUCCCAAGAAGCUGACCGAUUCUUUAGAGUGGAUGGAUGAUGGCCUAGUAAAUGAUAUCACACCAAAAUUGAAAGGAGACAGACCUAAUACCUACAUAUACACAAAAGCAUUGGCAGAAUAUGUUGUACAACAGGAAGGAGCAAAGCUAAAUGUGGCGAUUAUAAGGCUAUCGAUUGUUGGUGCCAGUUGGAAAGAACUUUUUCCAGGAUGGAUUGAUAAUUUUAAUGGACCAAGUGGGCUCUUUAUUGCAGCAGGGAAAGGAAUUCUUCAAAAAAUGCGUGCCUCCAACAGGGCCCUUGCAGAUCUUGUUCCUGUAGACGUAGUUGUCAACGAGUCUUGCAGCAGCCUGGCAUCCCGGAGUUAACAGACCAUGAAACGCCAUGGUGUAUAAUUGUACAACAGGCAGCACUCAUCCUUUCCACUGGGGUGAAAUUGAAUACCAUGUAAUUUCCACUUUCAAGAGGAAUCCUCUCGAACAGGCCUUCAGACGGCCCAGUGUAAAUCUAACCUCCAAUCACCUUUUACAUCAUUACUGGAUUGUUGUAAGCCAUAAGGCCCCAGCAUUCCUGUAUGAUAUCUACCGCAGGAUGACUGGAAGAAGCUCAAGGAUGAUGAAAGCAAUUACUCGUUUUCAGAAAGCUAUGAUGUUUCUUGAAUAUUGCACAAGUAAUUCUUGGGUUUGGAAUACUGACAAUGUCAAUAUGUUAAUUAAUCAACUAAACCCUGAAGAUAAAAAGACCUUCAAUAUUGAUGUACGGCAGUUACAUUGGGCAGAAUAUCUAGAGAACUACUGCAUGGGAACUAAGAAGUACGUGUUGAAUGAAGAAAUGUCUGGCCUCCUUGCGGCCAGAAAACAUCUGAACAAGUUGCGAAAUAUACGUUAUGGUUUUUUUUUCUUUUUUUUUUGAGAUGGAGUUUCACUGCUGUUACCCAGGCUGUAGUGUAAUGGCGCGAUCUCGGCUCACCGCAACCUCCGCCUCCUGGGUUCAGGCAAUUCUCCUGCCUCAGCCUCCUGAGUAGCUGGGAUUACAGGCACGCGCCACCAUGCCCAGCUAAUUUUUUGUAUUUUUAGUAGAGACGGGGUUUCACCUUGUUGACCAGGAUGGUCUUGAUCUCUUGACCUCGUGAUCCACCCACCUCGGCCUCCCAAAGUGCUGGGAUUACAGGCGUGAGCCACCGCACCCGGCCACGUUAUGGUUUUAAUACUAUCCUUGUGAUCCUCAUCUGAUGCAUUUUUAUUGUAAGAUCACAGAUGGCAAGUAACAUCUGGUACUUUGUGGUUAGUCUGUGUUACAAGUUUCUGUCAUACUUCCGAGCAUCCAGCACUAUGAGAUACUGAAGACCAAGAAUUCAGCAUUAGAACAUCUAUGCAUAUGGUGGUCUAAAUGCCCAAAACGUAAAAUGUACUUAAGUCAUCUCACCUUUUGUCAAGGCAUUAAAUCAUCUUAGAUUGGAGUUUGAAGUAAAUUAUGGUACAUUUUAUGUAACAUUUUAAUGUUUAUGCUCACAAAACCUAGUGAACACACUGUGUUAUGCCAGCUCAAAUCUACAAUAGCCACCAAAACCAUGACUUAAUACUCUGAGCCUAGAAGAAAGGGGUGGGAUGAGGGCAGAAGUGGGGAAAUUGGAACACUGAUCAGUAUAACUGUGCAAUUCUGGAACAUACUGAUUAAAAUAUGCCUUAAAAUAUAGUGAAUUUCUAAUUCUAAUAUUCAGUGCAAUGGAAGACAUUUAUUUGGACAAUAAUACUAGCUAAGUUGGAAGAUACUUGAUUCUUCAGUGUUUGAUUUUUUCAUUAGUUGCAGUAGGUUUUAGUUUUUUUUUAAUUAUAACCAACCUAUUUUCCCAUCAUCUUGUAAGUUAAAUGAUAUCAAACAUGAAAGACAUGUUCUCAUUUUUCUUUUUCUGAUUAAAUGUCUGAUACAUAUCAUUUUUCUAUAAGAAAUCAGUUGCUUUUAAAAUCAGAAGGCUAUAUUAUUCUAAUGACCCUCCUGGAUCUAAAUGAGUUUGAGAAUCCAUAUCAACCUAUGCUAUGAGUUUUUUGACAGAAAGUGAAAACAAAUUCAGUAAAACUGUUAGUAUCAAAAAUAAUAGGAAUACAGUUUUCCUAUCGACAUUAUGAUCAAAUAAAGAUACUGUGAGAUUGU
Non-coding RNA from Callithrix jacchus (white-tufted-ear marmoset), 2681 nucleotides. NCBI's taxonomy places the organism in Eukaryota, Metazoa, Chordata, Mammalia, Primates, Cebidae. The record is from RefSeq and is a predicted model, not a curated record.